This 253-nucleotide ribosomal RNA is filed under the name uncultured bacterium. Its description in RNAcentral is "partial 16S ribosomal RNA". It matches the Rfam family "Bacterial small subunit ribosomal RNA", at positions 524 to 776 of the family's 1533-position model. The record is from RNAcentral.
UACGUAGGGUGCGAACGUUAAUCGGAAUUACUGGGCGUAAAGCGUGCGCAGGCGGUUUUGUAAGCCAGAUGUGAAAUCCCCGGGCUUAACCUGGGAAUGGCAUUUGGGACUGCAAGGCUCGAGUGCGGCAGAGGAGACUGGAAUUCCUGGUGUAGCAGUGAAAUGCGUAGAUAUCAGGAGAAAUACCGAUGGCGAAGGCAGGUCUCUGGGCUGACACUGACGCUCAUGCACGAAAGCGUGGGGAGCAAACAGG